This 655-nucleotide ribosomal RNA is filed under the name uncultured forest soil bacterium. RNAcentral's name for it is "bacterial SSU rRNA". It matches the Rfam family "Bacterial small subunit ribosomal RNA", at positions 64 to 767 of the family's 1533-position model. The record is from RNAcentral.
GAGCGCCCCGCAAGGGGAGCGGCAGACGGGAGAGUAACACGUGGGAACGUGCCCUUUGGUUCGGAACAACACAGGGAAACUUGUGCUAAUACCGGAUAAGUCCGUAAGGAGAAAGAUUUAUCGCCAAAGGAUCGGCCCGCGUCUGAUUAGCUUGUUGGUGAGGCAACGGCUCACCAAGGCGACGAUCAGUAGCUGGUCUGAGAGGAUGAUCAGCCUCACUGGGACUGAGACACGGCCCAGACUCCUACGGGAGGCAGCAGUGGGGAAUAUUGGACAAUGGGCGCAAGCCUGAUCCAGCCAUGCCGCGUGGAUGAUGAAGGCCUUAGGGUUGUAAAGUCCUUUCGGCGGGGAAGAUAAUGACGGUACCCGCAGAAGAAGCCCCGGCUAACUUCGUGCCAGCAGCCGCGGUAAUACGAAGGGGGCUAGCGUUGCUCGGAAUCACUGGGCGUAAAGCGCACGUAGGCGGCUUUUUAAGUCAGAGGUGAAAUCCUGGAGCUCAACUCCAGAACUGCCUUUGAUACUGGAGAGCUUGAGUCCGGGAGAGGUGAGUGGAACUGCGAGUGUAGAGGUGAAAUUCGUAGAUAUUCGCAAGAACACCAGUGGCGAAGGCGGCUCACUGGCCCGGUACUGACGCUGAGGUGCGAAAGCGUGGGGA